UUUAAGAGACAAUCCAAAGUGGUUUAUUAAGCAAGGUAGGAAUUGAGAAAUAAGGGAACUGUACAAUUAGGCCCAAAUAGGCAAUUUUCUACAGGUUUAUCCCCACAUGCUUCUAACUCUGGUCAAGUAUCCAUAAUUCCUAUCUUCGUAAAGUAGUCAGAUACGGACUACACACAAAAUCCACAUGCAAAGAAUCAAGAUGGGGAGGAGGGGAAUAUUGGAGCAGAAACUACAAAUGUAGUCCAUUACAGGAUGUUUUCUGCCAUUAUGUGGUACACUUGUUAUCUUAAGCCACCUCAAAAUGUGGCAUGAACACAUUUACUUCAGGGUUGUAAUACUGUUGAUAUACAGACUUUAGCGCCAUUAACUUGGCUUACCAAUUUACAACUAUUGGGCUAGAAGGAAAUAGACAAACUAGUGUUAAGUAAAUGCAGCAUUUAUACAUCAGUGGAGGGGGAAGAGGAAGAAGGGAAGAAAAAAAAAAAAAAAAAGUGUGCCUUGAUUCUGAAAAGGUAACUUGUUUGAGGAUAUAAAAUGGUACCUUCAACUGGCAAUCAUACUAUGUGCAAGUUUCCCCUUCUAUCACUAGGGGGAAAUAUGAACUUUGUAUGCCCCCAUUUAAAUGAACAUGUCAGUCAGCCCAAUGAUGUUACUUUUUAAAGUAAUGCUCUAUUCUAUAAGUACCUGGCUCAUGUCCAAAAACAUAAAACACACCUUUGCAUAUUUACAAAACACCAGGUGCUUACAUCGAUAUUUAAAGAAGUGUCUGCAGGUACAAAUAGUGUUGAUAUAUUAAAAUAAAAGUAAAG
Molecule: non-coding RNA, 809 nt
Organism: Pelobates cultripes (western spadefoot toad)
Lineage: Eukaryota; Metazoa; Chordata; Amphibia; Anura; Pelobatidae
Source: the annotation of a GenBank genome assembly